GGUCCUGCCUGGACCGCUGGCUGCCCUUCUCCCUGCCCGACUCCGUUGGGCCUUUGGCGCGAGUCUUCUCUUUCCUCUGCUGCUGCUUCUCCUGUUUGGCCAUCUGAAGAGACGCACAAAGAGCAGUCCAAGCUACACGGUACCAGGAUGAUGUGUGCCCCUCCCUCUUUCUGAUGUCUUUCUACCUGGCCCAGGUGAGCAGGUUUUGGUGGUUUCAUUUUGUGACGGUCUGACUUUCAGCAAAGAUCUACUGGAUGUUUGGCUGCUGAGGACUUUUCUCGGCUCUGCUAUAGACUUCUUGAGGUGACACAGUCAAAUGUGAGCUAUGAUAACUGCUGUAUUUUGAUUUCUAAGGCUUAAAAAUCUGAGUCAAUUUUUAGGAUUCUUUGAAGAUAUACAUUUUUUUCUCCUCGAUUUCUUCUUUUUAUACUUUAAUACCUAAUUUAAUGACAAAUUGAUUUAUUAAUCGAAAAACAAACUAAAACUACAAAGGUUUGUUUUGAUUUAACUUGAUUCUUAAAAUUUUGGUUCUUUUUUUUCUACAUGUUUUUCAAUAUUAAUGCGAACGUUUUGUUAAAGCUUUAAGAAACUGCUUUUUGUCAAGAUGACUGAAGUUCAUGUCUGUGGGUGGAUUCUCCAAAUCUUCAGAUGCCUUUUCCAGACUUUAAAAAUCUAUUUAAAAAAAAAAAAAAACUUUUUAUAUUUCAUGUAAUCUCCUUCACAGGAUAAGCAUUUAGCAGAUCAUUACACCUUUUUUUUAAGCAUAUAAUUUAAAAACAUUUUUUUAGUGUGUGGUAAUUCUGCUUUACUGCAU
Long non-coding RNA from Oryzias melastigma (Indian medaka), 814 nucleotides. RefSeq lists it as uncharacterized. NCBI's taxonomy places the organism in Eukaryota, Metazoa, Chordata, Actinopteri, Beloniformes, Adrianichthyidae. The record is from RefSeq and is a predicted model, not a curated record. The transcript has 3 exons.